AUUUAUAAGAUGGUUAAGAUAAUAGCAAGUAAUGAUUCAAAUAUGCAUUUCGUAUGACUAAAAAUUUUGAUGAUGAAAAGACAGGACAACCACGGUCAAAAGAAAGGAUAAUCGUCAAAACACAAACAGAUGAGCAAUUCUUUGUAUAAAAACACCACUUCAUAACUGCGCGUUUUACACGCCUAUACCGUUUCUGAAAAUUAAUGGCAAAUCACCCCAAUCGAAUCUAUAAGUAUUUAUGUCUUCUGCGAUCACGACGAACCAACAUUAUACCAUAGGAUACAAUUGCACCCAAUAACAAGAAAACCAUAAAGUUUGUCAAGUUAUAUGGCGAGUAAGCAUUUCCCAUUGCCUUUUUUAUCUCCUUUUCAAAUUCUGCUAAAUGUUUAGAAGUACCAUCUGCAGUGGAAGAUUGCGCAGAUAGAGAAUCAUGUAGCAAUUUUUCAAGGGCAUUAAAUCUUUCACUUGGGAACUGUGAAGUAGAAGAAAUAUCGUUCAAACGCUCCAAAGCAUUAGUCAACGCAAAAUGCAAAGAGUCCAUCUUCUGGCGUUGAGAUUCUACUAGAUUAAAAAGCUUUGCCAAAUCAGCCUUUAUUGCGUUCAAACCUUCAGUGUCAAUAACUGUUUGAGGACUAGUAUUGUCACCGACGCUUUGCUUUGUAUUGGAGGUAGGAUUCAAAUUUUCAUUAUUAGAUGUAUCUGGAGGAAGUAUAUUGAGGUUCGAUAAAGCCACCAAGUCUUUUGCAGACGUAGAUUGAGAGGAAACUCCAAAAUAAUACCCCUGAGGCAAAAUGACAUCUUUUACUUGAAAGCAGGGCUUGUCAUUCACAAAUAACUCUAAUCCAGAUUGGUCACCGUAUUUGAGAAUAAUAUUGUUCAAAGCCUCAGGAGAGCUCUCAAUGGUACAUUUAGCAAAGGGCGGAAGAUCGGGGUCAGUAAACUGAGCAAGUUCAAAACUUUUAUCAUUCAAAUAGCCACGAACAAAGAUUUUACCAGUUUGAUCGAUUUCCUGGGAAAUCAGAAGGCCGUCCCACUUAUCGGAGGCGCCAAAAACUGGACCUUCUGAACCGACAGCGCUUGUAUACCAAAUCGCAAAAAAGGUGUUUUCGUUCUCUGAUACAUGAGCUACAAAUGAAGUCGAUAGCUGCCAGCCAACUUGUCGUAAAACGCUAGUUGACCAAAGGGAUCCAGAGCGUGCUUCAUUACUGUCUUUGCUGGUUAAGUAAACGUAACCUGAAUCUUCAUCCACACUACCGUACCAUUUCCAUUCAACGGGAAUGGCGUUACUUAGUGAAUGAAGUUGCAAAAACUGAGAUUUAGGGACGGCGUAAGCCAAUGUACAACAAAACGAUAAUACAUGAAACAGGGAGCAAAACUUCAUUUUUCUUUACUUCGUUUAAAAAUAGAUAAAUGAAUAUUGUGAAAGUAUGCCAAAAAAAAGAGAGAGAAACAGAAAUUGAAAGAAAGG
Non-coding RNA from Schizosaccharomyces pombe (fission yeast), 1468 nucleotides. The record is from the annotation of a GenBank genome assembly. Lineage: Eukaryota; Fungi; Ascomycota; Schizosaccharomycetes; Schizosaccharomycetales; Schizosaccharomycetaceae.